GGAGGUGUAGCUCAGUGGUAAAGUGCUUGCCUAGUAGCACAAGGCCCUGGGUUCAAACUCCAGUACUGCCA
This 71-nucleotide transfer RNA is filed under the name Heterocephalus glaber (naked mole-rat). It matches the Rfam family "tRNA". From Rfam's summary of the family: Transfer RNA (tRNA) molecules are approximately 80 nucleotides in length. Their secondary structure includes four short double-helical elements and three loops (D, anti-codon, and T loops). The record is from Rfam by way of RNAcentral. Lineage: Eukaryota; Metazoa; Chordata; Mammalia; Rodentia; Bathyergidae.